CCUACGGGAGGCAGCAGUGGGGAAUAUUGGACAAUGGGCGAAAGCCUGAUCCAGCAAUGCCGCGUGAGUGAUGAAGGCCUUCGGGUCGUAAAGCUCUUUUACCAGGGAUGAUAAUGACAGUACCUGGAGAAUAAGCUCCGGCUAACUCCGUGCCAGCAGCCGCGGUAAUACGGAGGGAGCUAGCGUUGUUCGGAAUUACUGGGCGUAAAGAGUACGUAGGCGGUUAUUCAAGUCAGAGGUGAAAGCCCGGGGCUCAACCCCGGAACUGCCUUUGAAACUAGAUAACUAGAGUCUUGGAGAGGUUAGUGGAAUUCCGAGUGUAGAGGUGAAAUUCGUAGAUAUUCGGAAGAACACCAGUGGCGAAGGCGACUAACUGGACAAGUACUGACGCUGAGGUACGAAAGCGUGGGGAGCAAACAGGAUUAGAUACCCUGGUAGUCCACGCCGUAAACGAUGAUAACUAGUUGUUCGGUCACUUGGUGACUGAGUGACGCAGCUAACGCAUUAAGUUAUCCGCCUGGGGAGUACGGUCGCAAGNUUAAAACNCAAAGAUUGACG
RNAcentral lists this ribosomal RNA (558 nucleotides) under uncultured bacterium. RNAcentral describes it as "bacterial SSU rRNA". It matches the Rfam family "Bacterial small subunit ribosomal RNA", at positions 338 to 915 of the family's 1533-position model. The record is from RNAcentral.